UCUGAACGCAUUUCUACUUCCGGUUUAGGCAUUAACAGUUGACGUCAGGUUGUUUGAGGGAAAUUAUGGGAUGCAUUUGAUGACUAGCAGUUAUUUAUGAUCGUUAGAUAUGCUGUGCGCGCGUGCUGUUUGGAGUCUUGACGGUUGAGCAUGGGUAUUUCAAAACAUGGAAUCAUUUCAAACAAAACCUCGCUGAAUAUCGCGAUUGUAACGGUAACUGUACAGUCCUCGAACCUGCAGCCGCUGUGCCAUGUGUCCGCGCGCAGAUGCUUAAGCCGGUGGCGGGAAAUAACAGAGGGAUGUUAUCUGUAACAAACUGAGGAAUUCAGCUCAUGCUGCCCUCUUGUGUGAUUUACAUGCAUGUUCUCAACCAUCAGUGCAGUAGGAACCAAAAACCAAGAGGAAACUAUAAACACUUGAAAGAUGACACCACGCCCCCUGGUUGCAGCCACGCCCCUGGUUGCACGCCACGUCACGCCCACAAGUACGGCUUAGCCCUGUGAUUGGACCGCGAUUGCCUUUCAGCGUAACACGAC
Molecule: long non-coding RNA, 536 nt
Organism: Ictalurus punctatus (channel catfish)
Lineage: Eukaryota; Metazoa; Chordata; Actinopteri; Siluriformes; Ictaluridae
Source: Ensembl